GGGGUUGUGGCUCAGCGGUAGAGCGCUUGCCUAGCACGUGUGAGGCUCUGAGUUCUAUCCUCAGCACCACA
This 71-nucleotide transfer RNA is filed under the name Marmota monax (woodchuck). Its description in RNAcentral is "tRNA.Ala". It matches the Rfam family "tRNA". Rfam says of the family: Transfer RNA (tRNA) molecules are approximately 80 nucleotides in length. Their secondary structure includes four short double-helical elements and three loops (D, anti-codon, and T loops). The record is from RNAcentral. Lineage: Eukaryota; Metazoa; Chordata; Mammalia; Rodentia; Sciuridae.